AAAGUGGCACGCGAGCUGGGUUCAAAACGUCGUGAGACAGUUUGGUCCCUAUCUGCCGUGGGCGCUGGAAGAUUGACGGGGGCUGCUCCUAGUACGAGAGGACCGGAGUGGACGGACCGCUGGUGUACCGGUUGUGAUGCCAAUCGCAUUGCCGGGUAGCUAUGUCCGGAAGGGAUAACCGCUGAAAGCAUCUAAGCGGGAAACCUGCCUGAAGAUAAGUCUUCCCGGAGGCUAGACCUCCUUGAAGAGUCGUUCGAGACCAGGACGUUGAUAGGUCAGGUGUGGAAGCGUUGUGAGACGUUAAGCUAACUGAUACUAAUUGCUCGUAAGGCUUGAUCCU
RNAcentral lists this ribosomal RNA (340 nucleotides) under Candidatus Aphodousia faecalis. RNAcentral's name for it is "partial 23S ribosomal RNA". It matches the Rfam family "Bacterial large subunit ribosomal RNA", at positions 2590 to 2925 of the family's 2925-position model. Lineage: Bacteria; Pseudomonadati; Pseudomonadota; Betaproteobacteria; Burkholderiales; Sutterellaceae. The record is from RNAcentral.